AGAUUGAACGCUGGCGGAAUGCUUUACACAUGCAAGUCGAACGGCAGCACGGGACUCAGGCAACUGAGCCCUGGUGGCGAGUGGCGAACGGGUGAGUAACAUAUCGGAACGUACCCAGUCGUGGGGGAUAACUCUCCGAAAGGAGAGCUAAUACCGCAUACGUCCUGAGGGAGAAAGCGGGGGACCUAAGGGUAACUGAGGGCCUCGCGCGAUUGGAGCGGCCGAUAUCGGAUUAGCUAGUUGGUGAGGUAAAGGCUCACCAAGGCGACGAUCCGUAGCGGGUCUGAGAGGACGACCCGCCACACUGGAACUGAGACACGGUCCAGACUCCUACGGGAGGCAGCAGUGGGAAUUUGGACAAGUGGGGGCAACCCGUGAUCCAGCCAUUCCGCGUGAGUGAAGAGCUGGUGUAAGCUCUUCAGUCAGAACGAACGGUGGUACUUAAUACG
This 449-nucleotide ribosomal RNA is filed under the name uncultured soil bacterium. RNAcentral describes it as "bacterial SSU rRNA". It matches the Rfam family "Bacterial small subunit ribosomal RNA", at positions 26 to 466 of the family's 1533-position model. The record is from RNAcentral.